RNAcentral lists this ribosomal RNA (254 nucleotides) under uncultured bacterium. Its description in RNAcentral is "partial 16S ribosomal RNA". It matches the Rfam family "Bacterial small subunit ribosomal RNA", at positions 524 to 776 of the family's 1533-position model. The record is from RNAcentral.
UACGAAGGGGGCUAGCGUUGUUCGGAUUUACUGGGCGUAAAGCGCGCGUAGGCGGCUUUGCAAGCCAGAGGUGAAAUGCCUGAGCUCAACUUAGGAAUUGCCUUUGGGACUGCGAGGCUUUGAGGACUGGAGAGGUGAGUGGAAUUCCCAGUGUAGAGGUGAAAUUCGUAGAUAUUGGGAAGAACACCGGUGGCGAAGGCGGCUCACUGGCCAGUUUCUGACGCUGCAGCGCGAAAGAGUGGGGAGCAAACAGG